UACGUAGGUGGCAAGCGUUGUCCGGAAUUACUGGGUGUAAAGGGAGCGUAGGCGGGGCCGCAAGCCUCAUGUGAAAUCGACCGGCUCAACCGGUUGCUGCGUGAGGAACUGCGGUUCUUGAGUGGAGUAGAGGCAGGCGGAAUUCCUAGUGUAGCGGUGAAAUGCGUAGAUAUUAGGAGGAACACCAGUGGCGAAGGCGGCCUGCUGGGCUCUAACUGACGCUGAGGCUCGAAAGCGUGGGUAGCAAA
This 248-nucleotide ribosomal RNA is filed under the name uncultured bacterium. Its description in RNAcentral is "partial 16S ribosomal RNA". It matches the Rfam family "Bacterial small subunit ribosomal RNA", at positions 524 to 772 of the family's 1533-position model. The record is from RNAcentral.